AAUGCAAGUCGAGCGGUAACAGAUCCAGCUUGCUGGAUGCUGACGAGCGGCGGACGGGUGAGUAAUGCAUAGGAAUCUGCCCGAUAGUGGGGGAUAACCUGGGGAAACCCAGGCUAAUACCGCAUACGUCCUACGGGAGAAAGGGGGCUCCGGCUCCCGCUAUGGGAUGAGCCUAUGUCGGAUUAGCUAGUUGGUGAGGUAACGGCUCACCAAGGCCACGAUCCGUAGCUGGUCUGAGAGGAUGAUCAGCCACAUCGGGACUGAGACACGGCCCGAACUCCUACGGGAGGCAGCAGUGGGGAAUAUUGGACAAUGGGGGAAACCCUGAUCCAGCCAUGCCGCGUGUGUGAAGAAGGCCCUCGGGUUGUAAAGCACUUUCAGCGAGGAAGAACGCCUAGCGGUUAAUACCCGCUAGGAAAGACAUCACUCGCAGAAGAAGCACCGGCUAACUCCGUGCCAGCAGCCGCGGUAAUACGGAGGGUGCAAGCGUUAAUCGGAAUUACUGGGCGUAAAGCGCGCGUAGGUGGCUUGAUAAGCCGGUUGUGAAAGCCCCGGGCUCAACCUGGGAACGGCAUCCGGAACUGUCAAGCUAGAGUGCAGGAGAGGAAGGUAGAAUUCCCGGUGUAGCGGUGAAAUGCGUAGAGAUCGGGAGGAAUACCAGUGGCGAAGGCGGCCUUCUGGACUGACACUGACACUGAGGUGCGAAAGCGUGGGUAGCAAACAGGAUUAGAUACCCUGGUAGUCCACGCCGUAAACGAUGUCGACCAGCCGUUGGGUGCCUAGCGCACUUUGUGGCGAAGUUAACGCGAUAAGUCGACCGCCUGGGGAGUACGGCCGCAAGGUUAAAACUCAAAUGAAUUGACGGGGGCCCGCACAAGCGGUGGAGCAUGUGGUUUAAUUCGAUGCAACGCGAAGAACCUUACCUACUCUUGACAUCCUGCGAAUUUGGUAGAGAUACCUUAGUGCCUUCGGG
This 973-nucleotide ribosomal RNA is filed under the name Vreelandella aquamarina. RNAcentral describes it as "bacterial SSU rRNA". It matches the Rfam family "Bacterial small subunit ribosomal RNA", at positions 54 to 1024 of the family's 1533-position model. Lineage: Bacteria; Pseudomonadati; Pseudomonadota; Gammaproteobacteria; Oceanospirillales; Halomonadaceae. The record is from RNAcentral.